Molecule: non-coding RNA, 132 nt
Filed under: Gracilibacter sp.
Lineage: Bacteria; Bacillati; Bacillota; Clostridia; Eubacteriales; Gracilibacteraceae
Description: MoCo sequence
Rfam family: Molybdenum/Tungsten riboswitch aptamer (Moco RNA motif)
Source: RNAcentral
AGACAAUCUAUAUCUCCGAGUUCGUAAUCCUACGGAAUUUCUAGGGGUUAUGAUCCUGAGCCACGAGCUCACAGGGUGUAGCAGGAAACAGCUAUACCUCCCGAAUUGGAAAGGAGAAAGAAUAGUAGUUUU